Molecule: ribosomal RNA, 207 nt
Filed under: uncultured bacterium
Lineage: Bacteria
Description: partial 16S ribosomal RNA
Rfam family: Bacterial small subunit ribosomal RNA
Source: RNAcentral
UGCGUAGGCGGGCAUUUAAGUCUGGGGUGAAAUCCUACGGCUCAACCGUAGAAUGGCCUUGGAUACUGAAUGUCUUGAGUGUGAGAGAGGUCGGUGGAAUUCGUAGUGUAGCGGUGAAAUGCAUAGAUAUUACGAAGAACACCAGUGGCGUAAGCGGCCGACUGGCUCACAACUGACGCUGAGGCACGAGAGCGUGGGGAGCGAACA